UUGCACGCUGGCGGCAGGCCUCACCCCUGCCAGUCCCGCGGAUGAAGGGAGCUUGCUCCUGGAUUCAGCGGCGGACGGGUGAGUAAUGCCUAGGAAUCUGCCUGGUAGUGGGGGAUAACGUCCGGAAACGGGCGCUAAUACCGCAUACGUCCUGAGGGAGAAAGUGGGGGAUCUUCGGACCUCACGCUAUCAGAUGAGCCUAGGUCGGAUUAGCUAGUUGGUGGGGUAAAGGCCUACCAAGGCGACGAUCCGUAACUGGUCUGAGAGGAUGAUCAGUCACACUGGAACUGAGACACGGUCCAGACUCCUACGGGAGGCAGCAGUGGGGAAUAUUGGACAAUGGGCGAAAGCCUGAUCCAGCCAUGCCGCGUGUGUGAAGAAGGUCUUCGGAUUGUAAAGCACUUUAAGUUGGGAGGAAGGGCAGUAAGUUAAUACCUUGCUGUUUUGACGUUACCAACAGAAUAAGCACCGGCUAACUUCGUG
RNAcentral lists this ribosomal RNA (483 nucleotides) under uncultured bacterium. Its description in RNAcentral is "partial 16S ribosomal RNA". It matches the Rfam family "Bacterial small subunit ribosomal RNA", at positions 30 to 507 of the family's 1533-position model. The record is from RNAcentral.